UUCCAGACUCCUACGGGAGGCAGCAGUGGGGAAUAUUGCACAAUGGGGGAAACCCUGAUGCAGCGACGCCGCGUGAAGGAUGAAGUAUUUCGGUAUGUAAACUUCUAUCAGCAGGGAAGAAAAUGACGGUACCUGACUAAGAAGCCCCGGCUAACUACGUGCCAGCAGCCGCGGUAAUACGUAGGGGGCAAGCGUUAUCCGGAUUUACUGGGUGUAAAGGGAGCGUAGACGGCAUGGCAAGUCUGAUGUGAAAACCCGGGGCUCAACCCCGGGACUGCAUUGGAAACUGUAUAGCUGGAGUGCAGGAGAGGUAAGUGGAAUUCCUAGUGUAGCGGUGAAAUGCGUAGAUGUUAGGAGGAACACCAGUGGCGAAGGCGGCUUACUGGACUGUAACUGACGUUGAGUCUCGAAAGCGUGGGGAGCAAACAGGAUUAGAUACCCCCGUA
Molecule: ribosomal RNA, 446 nt
Filed under: uncultured bacterium
Lineage: Bacteria
Description: partial 16S ribosomal RNA
Rfam family: Bacterial small subunit ribosomal RNA
Source: RNAcentral